GACGAACGCUGGCGGCGUGCUUAACACAUGCAAGUCGAGCGGAAAGGCCCUUCGGGGUACUCGAGCGGCGAACGGGUGAGUAACACGUGGGUAACCUGCCUUCAGCUCUGGGAUAAGCCCGGGAAACUGGGUCUAAUACUGGAUAUGACGCAUCACCGCAUGGUGUGUGUGUGGAAAGUUUUUUCGGCUGAAGAUGGACUCGCGGCCUAUCAGCUUGUUGGUGGGGUAGUGGCCUACCAAGGCGAUGACGGGUAGCCGGCCUGAGAGGGCGACCGGCCACACUGGGACUGAGACACGGCCCAG
Molecule: ribosomal RNA, 303 nt
Filed under: uncultured Jiangella sp.
Lineage: Bacteria; Bacillati; Actinomycetota; Actinomycetes; Jiangellales; Jiangellaceae
Description: bacterial SSU rRNA
Rfam family: Bacterial small subunit ribosomal RNA
Source: RNAcentral